GAUGAACGCUGGCGGCGUGCCUAAUACAUGCAAGUCGAGCGAACGGACGAGAAGCUUGCUUCUCUGAUGUUAGCGGCGGACGGGUGAGUAACACGUGGAUAACCUACCUAUAAGACUGGGAUAACUUCGGGAAACCGGAGCUAAUACCGGAUAAUAUUUUGAACCGCAUGGUUCAAAAGUGAAAGACGGUCUUGCUGUCACUUAUAGAUGGAUCCGCGCUGCAUUAGCUAGUUGGUAAGGUAACGGCUUACCAAGGCAACGAUGCAUAGCCGACCUGAGAGGGUGAUCGGCCACACUGGAACUGAGACACGGUCCAGACUCCUACGGGAGGCAGCAGUAGGGAAUCUUCCGCAAUGGGCGAAAGCCUGAAGGAGCAACGCCGCGUGAGUGAUGAAGGUCUUCGGAUCGUAAAACUCUGUUAUUAGGGAAGAGCAUAUGUGUAAGUAACUGUGCACAUCUUGACGGUACCUAAUCAGAAAGCCACGGCUAACUACGUG
Molecule: ribosomal RNA, 497 nt
Filed under: uncultured bacterium
Lineage: Bacteria
Description: partial 16S ribosomal RNA
Rfam family: Bacterial small subunit ribosomal RNA
Source: RNAcentral